Musa acuminata subsp. malaccensis (wild Malaysian banana) is the source of this 790-nucleotide long non-coding RNA. RefSeq lists it as uncharacterized. The record is from RefSeq and is a predicted model, not a curated record. Lineage: Eukaryota; Viridiplantae; Streptophyta; Magnoliopsida; Zingiberales; Musaceae.
GAGAAGUCACAACCCGCAACAUCUUGAUGUUUUCGCCGCUCGCCGUCGGCUUCCUACGUGCUCGUCGUCUCUGCAUUCCCCGAUCGAUUCCUUCGCUUUCUGUUCUUCCGCGUCCCUCCUCUUCUCCUUCUCGAUUGUAGGGCUUCGAUCGUUGGGAGCUCUGGAGGCGCGAAGAUGAAGAUCGAUUGCACAUUGGGCCCGUUCCUGAGGGAGGGGAAGACCUCGAGACCCUGGACGACUUGCGAACGUCUAUGGAGAACGCCGGCAUCCUCUUCGCUGUCAUGCUCGACAACAAGGUCUCUCCUUUUUCAGUUUUCCUCCCCCUCCUCCUCUUAUUCCCGCUGUGGCGUCCUUGCCGGUUCUCCUUUCCCUUUUAUUGGAAUUCUGUUUCCUCGUCGUGUAGUUGACAGUACUGGUUGCUCCUGGUGCCUUUUACUGUUGUUCAGAAAUCUGAAGUGCAUGAGAUGGGAUUGAGGCUCUGGGUAAAGUAUGAUGCCAAAUGGGAAGAAAGAACAGGGAUGUGAACCAUUAUUAUAUGGCUGCAGGAGAUUAGAGAAGAGAUCCAAGGUCCAGUCUUUUUCUCUCUCUGUGGAGCUGAAUCAGGUGAUGCUGAGAGGGUGUGGUUUAAAGUCCACUGCAAGAUGUGAUCAGUUGGAAACACAAUCUUCACGGAAGAGGAAAGAAGUAAAAUUGAUCAACCCCUUCAAGUCAGCAUGUAAUCAAAUCUUCAAUUUAGACAUGAUUUUUUAUUUUUUAGUAAAAUUUGAAAAAUAAUUAUUCAAUGUUCCAA